This is a non-coding RNA of Pimephales promelas (fathead minnow), 900 nucleotides long. The record is from RefSeq and is a predicted model, not a curated record. Lineage: Eukaryota; Metazoa; Chordata; Actinopteri; Cypriniformes; Leuciscidae.
GUUCCUUUAAAUAAAAAUUUCUUGACCCCUGCUAACGCUAGUUCUGGCACUCAUCUGAGGAACAACAUAAUAAUUUAAUGUGCUAUGUCAGGAUUGUAGCUUACAAUUUCAAGGCAUUCCGUCAUGUUCAUCACUUUAAGCAAGCUAGCUGGCCUCUUGCCUUGUUAUCAUACGUAAACAUGCCAUAUAACUUAGUGAAACGAUCAUUUGACCUUUAUUUAUUUUAUUUUUUGCAGCAACCAUGUCUGUGUCCUUAAAGGAGCUCUGUCAGAUGGUCAAUGUGUCAUAUGAUCAGGCAAGGGCCCUAAUAGACCGCGAGACCUCUGAUGGAGAUAGUGUAACGUUGAGAGAGAGGAAGCAACAGUGGUGGAGGAUACAGUGGUGCAUGCUGAUUUAUCUGGUGGUCUGGAGGAAGAGGAGGCCUCACUGCUGGCUCCAGACCAGGUGCAGUUUGACACGGUUUUCCAUGGUGCAGGCGAUGAGGACUCGGAUGCACAGCAUUCAUGCUCAGAUGCUAAGGAAGACGCACCUCCAAGGAAAAGACUGUGAGCUUACAGAUCUUACAGUGAUUAUGUUGUUGUGUUAUAUUUUGUGCUAUUAGGUACAACAACAAUGGAACGAUGGACUUCAAAAUCAACCACUCAGAUGACUGGAAUUCACAUCCACGUCACCAACUCCGAAACUCCACCUCAGACAGCCACCCCACUCUAUUCAGACCGCCUGAAGAUCACAGAGCUGAAAUUCAAACACCUCCAAGACCUGAAGGAAGUCAUCCCAAAGGACUUUCACAGCUUUUAUGACAAUUUACUUCACUAGCUUAAUAUAGGAUGCAGUAUUAAAGGAGAACUGGCAAAAUGAACCUGGGGUUUAAUAACACAUUGAUACCGAGUCGACCGUUCU